This 408-nucleotide unclassified non-coding RNA is filed under the name Zea mays. RNAcentral's name for it is "misc RNA Zm00001eb089430". Lineage: Eukaryota; Viridiplantae; Streptophyta; Magnoliopsida; Poales; Poaceae. The record is from RNAcentral.
CUCUGUUGUGCCACUGGCCGCCUGAUCCGCCGCCGCCGCGUCUCCACGCGUCGUUGGCUGCCUGAUCCGCCGCCGCGCCUCCACGCGCCGUCGACCCGCCAGCAGGCCGCUCCCUUCCUCUUCCCCUGCCCUGUGCGCUGUGCAGCACCCGUCGUCGCGUCGUCCACCUCGUCCCUGACUGCACUGACGCCCAGCGGCGCCUCCUAUCUUCAAGCUUUGCCCGUUGCCGACGUCAAACUCCCCUGCCAGGUUCGGCUCAGGCUCCUGCCUGAUUGGACUUUUCUUGGUGCCUUCCUUCUUCGUCGCCUUCGUUGGAUUUGUCGAUGCCGCGACUUUCUGGGCUGGAAUGGAUCCACCGCUGCCACAACCUUUCGGCUAGAUCCGUCCUGCCUUUGGUCGGAUCAUCGU